Molecule: RNA transcript, 2084 nt
Organism: Ipomoea nil (Japanese morning glory)
Lineage: Eukaryota; Viridiplantae; Streptophyta; Magnoliopsida; Solanales; Convolvulaceae
Exons: 7
Source: RefSeq, a predicted model, not a curated record
ACAUCUUAAUUAGGAUUUUGUUAAUUCUCGGAGGGUCUAUGUGCUAAUAUUGUUGAAUAUUCAUUCUAAGUUCUAACCCGUCUGAAUAGCGCAGAAGCUGACUAGACCCGUCGCGCCACCGAGGCACAGAAGAAGAUGAGCGAUCGAUCCUUAGAAUUUCUCCGGCCAACGGAAACCGUAGAGCUCGAAAGCGGACUUUCACUGGUCCCACGUGUCAAACUCCUACUCACAGUCUCACGGGCCGACAAGUCCGUAUCGCCGGUCGACGAGUGGAAGCUGAAGCGGUCACUGAUCGAUUACCUGAAGAACACACAUUCCGUCACCGUUCAAGAGGAAGACCUCGAAGUCCGGAGAUUCAAGGACCUCAACAAGCGCAAGCGCGACGAGCCGGUUGCUCGCGGCACCCUAUGUAUUCGGGACCUAGGGUUUCUGGCGAAGCUCUUGGCCUCGAAAUCUCAGUAUGAUGAUGAGAAGGAUGAAGUUAAGGCAGCUGAGAAGAACUUCCUGGAGUGGAGGAGAGGAAUUGUGGAGAGAAUGGAUGGUAUGGAGGUUAACAUUGAAGGCACUAAGUUCAAGCUGAGUGCUGUGCUGCCGGCGUCGGAUGAUUUUGAAGGGAUGAAGAAAGAAUGGGAAGAGAUUGCUGCUUUUGGUGGCCGAGGAUAUCAAAGGGGUUCAAGUAUGCAACCAGAUACACUUGUGUUGAGAGGUUUGCCAUCAAGGUGGUUUGCUGAGACAAGGGUGUCUUCGAAGCCUUCCAUGCUAGUCAGCCAUACAAUUUUUUCAACAUUUGGGAAUAUUAGGAACAUUGAUGUGGCUGAGGACAAUUAUGUUGGUAAGGAUGUAGAAGAGGAUGGACUGGACAUUAUUUCAGGACUCCAAUGUAAGAUUGUGGUUCGGUUCAAGAAGCACAAGGACUUCUGCAAUGCUUUGAAGGCGUUAUGUGGCCGUUCAUUGCAAAAGCAAGGGUCACGUUUGCGAGCUGAUUAUGAUGUCACUUGGGAUAAGGAUGGAUACUUCCGAAAUGAUGAAAGUCAAACAGGAGAAAGAAAUAGAUGGGUGCCUGCAAGGGAAGCACUGAAUGAAAGAGAUGAAGCACCUAGGAGUCGAUCACGCAACUUUAGUUAUGAAGAUGGCCGCAGAAAGAGAUUUAAGGAAUGAUGCUUCAAAAUUCAAAAUCUUAACCUGUGCAAGCUUAAUAUGGAAGUGCUAAAUGGUCGAUGAUAAUAGCAUCAAAUUUGCAAAUCUGUGGUCUGCAUGACAGCCAGAGAUUUAUGACAGCGAUUUCGGUCAACUUCAAGUUUGAGAAAAACCUUGCAUUUGGAAGCUCAGUUUUCUGGAGAAAUCCCUCUUCCUCUUCUGCUUUCUGGAGCUCAAGCUUGAAGAUGAACUCUCUCUAAUGGUGGGAAUUGCAUACCAUCCAAUGGAGGUACACAUAACUGCAAACGUCCUUCCAUAAACAGCCAAUAAAGCCAAAAUCAAGAUUAUAGCCACAGGCAAGUAAUACCUCGGCUUCUUCCAGUUUUCCCACUUCAUGACAUAAUUCAUCUUCUUCCAAGAAACACUCUUGCCCAACCUUUUCUCUUCACCACCAGUUUCUUGAGCUUCACCUGUGGACUGAACCACAUUCUGCUCAACUUCAUCCUUGUCUGCUGCACCUUGUUUCUUGUUCUUUGACUUGACAAUAAUGGGCUUGACAUCAUUGGAGUUCAAGAAGGCGAAGCGGACGAAGGAGAUGUCAUCUGAGCCCAUCUGUGUGUAGAUUUUCUGCUUCAGGUUUUGAAGAUCAGCCAAGAGUGCAGAGAACUUGUCGAGGCCGCGAUUAGCAUAAGGGUUUUUGAUCUCUCUCCCCCUAUAAAAUGUGCCCUUCUUUGACCUCUUGGGGGUUGAAGAUGGGCUAAGAAGAACAUACAUCUCAUCUUCAUCAGUUUGAAGAUCAAGAUGCGAGCUUCCACAAAUGCAUGGACUGAACAUAUUCAGAAACUAAAGGGUUUUGCAGUUGGAGGAGAUGAAUAUGUGGAAUGUUGUUUUGGGAUAACUUUGAUGGACAAAGAUAGAGAAAACUGGGAGCAGAGUGGUUCUUAAUU